CCCAUAUAUACCGUAUUAAGUCACUAGCACACUAUGUAACUAAUAAUAUACAAGAAAGGCAGUUUCGUAUUCUUUGAUAUCAAGUUCAAUUCUCCCGAUGCAGAAACGACCACUUUUUUUUCUGUGUCCAGUACAAUGUAGCAUCGUAUAUUCUUAAAAUAUUUUCUCGCAUAAUGCCUGGACAUCGGUGGACAUGCAACAUUACACAGUGUGACACGUUUACAAAUGAAAAUCAACACUCAGACUAGUCAUUAAGUAGGACAAUAAAUGACCAAAAGACAAACCCGGGACACAGAAGUACAAACAAUAGACCAUCAACUCUGAAAACCAAAAGUAAAAUAGAAACAUGGAUUACGAAAAAUAUGCAGGGGCGACAUCAGAGUGUGAAGAGAACUUGCUUCUUGCAAGACACUUUCAAUGAAAACAAUUUGAUAUGAAGACAAUCUUUUGUUUUAGUUUUUUUUUUUUUUUUUGAAAUUUAAAACAUGAGGCAUUUGCCUC
This 501-nucleotide long non-coding RNA is filed under the name Mytilus galloprovincialis (Mediterranean mussel). The record is from RNAcentral. Lineage: Eukaryota; Metazoa; Mollusca; Bivalvia; Mytilida; Mytilidae.